GAUGAAGAACGCAGCGAAAUGCGAUAAGUAAUGUGAAUUGCAGAAUUCAGUGAAUCAUCGAAUCUUUGAACGCACAUUGCGCUCGCCAGUAUUCUGGCGGGCAUGCCUGUUCGAGCGUCAUUUCAACCGUCAAGCCCCCGGCUUGUGUUGGGGACCUGCGGCUGCCGCAGGCCCUGAAAACCAGUGGCGGGCUCGCUGUCACACCGAGCGUAGUAGAUUUUCAUCUCGCUCAGGGCGUGCUGCGGGUUCCGGCCGUAAAAAGCCUUAUUUACCCAAGGUUGACCUCGGAUCAGGUAGGAAGACCCGCUGAACUUAAGCAUAUCAAUAAGCGGAGGA
Molecule: unclassified non-coding RNA, 336 nt
Filed under: soil metagenome
Description: partial contains 5.8S ribosomal RNA, internal transcribed spacer 2, and large subunit ribosomal RNA
Rfam family: 5.8S ribosomal RNA (bases 1-120)
Source: RNAcentral